AAUCUGCCCUGCACUCUGGGACAAGCCCGGGAAACUGGGUCUAAUACCGGAUAUGACCACUUCGGGCAUCCGAUGGUGGUGGAAAGCUCCGGCGGUGCAGGAUGAAUCCGCGGCCUAUCAGCUUGUUGGUGGGGUAAUGGCCUACCAAGGCGACGACGGGUAGCCGGCCUGAGAGGGCGACCGGCCACACUGGGACUGAGACACGGCCCAGACUCCUACGGGAGGCAGCAGUGGGGAAUAUUGCACAAUGGGCGAAAGCCUGAUGCAGCGACGCCGCGUGAGGGAUGACGGCCUUCGGGUUGUAAACCUCUUUCAGUAGGGAAGAAGCCUUCGGGUGACGGUACCUGCAAAAGAAGCACCGGCUAACUACGUGCCAGCAGCCGCGGUAAUACGUAGGGUGCAAGCGUUGUCCGGAAUUAUUGGGCGUAAAGAGCUCGUAGGCGGUUUGUCGCGUCGAUUGUGAAAGCCCGGGGCUUAACCCCGGGUCUGCAGUCGAUACGGGCAGGCUAGAGUUCGGUAGGGGAGAUCGGAAUUCCUGGUGUAGCGGUGAAAUGCGCAGAUAUCAGGAGGAACACCGGUGGCGAAGGCGGAUCUCUGGGCCGAUACUGACGCUGAGGAGCGAAAGCGUGGGGAGCGAACAGGAUUAGAUACCCUGGUAGUCCACGCCGUAAACGGUGGGCACUAGGUGUGGGCAACAUUCCACGUUGUCC
RNAcentral lists this ribosomal RNA (710 nucleotides) under Streptomyces sp. EGI80311. Its description in RNAcentral is "bacterial SSU rRNA". It matches the Rfam family "Bacterial small subunit ribosomal RNA", at positions 123 to 842 of the family's 1533-position model. The record is from RNAcentral. Lineage: Bacteria; Bacillati; Actinomycetota; Actinomycetes; Kitasatosporales; Streptomycetaceae.